UGGUUUCUCUUCAGAUCGUAUAAAUCUUUCACCUUUGACUAAAGAUUUCUGUGCAGAGGAACAAUUUA
RNAcentral lists this small nuclear RNA (68 nucleotides) under Phoenicopterus ruber ruber. RNAcentral's name for it is "U5 spliceosomal RNA". It matches the Rfam family "U5 spliceosomal RNA", at positions 7 to 74 of the family's 117-position model. From Rfam's summary of the family: U5 RNA is a component of both types of known spliceosome. The precise function of this molecule is unknown, though it is known that the 5' loop is required for splice site selection and p220 binding, and that both the 3' stem-loop and the Sm site are important for Sm protein binding and cap methylation. Lineage: Eukaryota; Metazoa; Chordata; Aves; Phoenicopteriformes; Phoenicopteridae. The record is from Rfam by way of RNAcentral.